Long non-coding RNA from Chiroxiphia lanceolata (lance-tailed manakin), 797 nucleotides. RefSeq lists it as uncharacterized. The record is from RefSeq and is a predicted model, not a curated record. The transcript is spliced from 3 exons. Lineage: Eukaryota; Metazoa; Chordata; Aves; Passeriformes; Pipridae.
CUGUUAUGCUGACUUUUAAGAACAGCCUGUAAGAAUUUGCUGCCUUGGCUGGAUGGUGCAAGGGCAGCCUUUAAGCAGCUGAAGCAUUCCCUGAGGAGAGUUUUGGGUCUGCCUGAUGUCUCAGAACUGUUGGAAGCAUCUUUGGUGGGGAGGGCAAAGAAAGGACAAGGUGUGCAGUGACCCUCCUGACAAGGGACUUGCAGUUAAUGGCAUCCCUGCAAGUGAACUUUGUGGGCUGUUCCCCCUGUGGGACAGGUGAUAGUCCCAGCUACAAUGAUGGGAAAAAUGGUUAAAAGAGAGCCCCAAGAGCUGGAAAUCCUCCUGGAGGCUCUUGGCAAACAGAGUUUCCUGAGUUCCCCGUGUAAGAAGGAUAGUGAUAGCUUUUGAGUGCUGGUAGAUCCUUUUAAUAGAUAGCCUUGAGUGUGUCCUUGUUGCACCAGUAGGCCUUGUCCAACUCCCCAUAUUCCUGGAGAUAUUCAUAUUAAAGUUUAAAGUACUCUUCCUAAUCCUUUGUUGGCUUGAGGCUCUCCCCUGCAGGAACUCCAGGAACUCCUGGUGCCGCCUGGGCCGAUGGAUUGGACGCCCCAGCCCCUCCGUUCCUGCCCAGCCACUGGGGCCGUGUCGAGUGGUGGCACUGCCAGCCCUGCAGUGGGAUAUAGCCUGGAAAGUGCACAGAGCUGAGGCAAGGGAUUUAAAGGGACCAACCAAGGGAGGUGAAGAAAGAAGAAAGAAGGGAACUGAGGCAGCAGCCAAGCAGUAUCAAGUUCCUGUGUAAGCAGGUGAAGCCGCGGCAGAGC